GUACAGGAGGCCAUUCUACUCUGUCAUGUGAUCUCCCCUGAGCUAAGAGGAAGCCUGAUUGGUUAUGCUGCCUGGGAGGGACCCUGUGUCAACCAAUCAGAGGCUUUCCCUUACAGGAGGAGGGGGAGACGCAGCAGAUGGAGGAGCAGGUCGGUCUGUGUGUGGAGGAGAAGACGAUCAGAGGUCAAGUCACUUUGCCUCAUGGGUAUAUUUUGCUAAAAAAUGCACUUUGAGUAAGAAAGCGCAUGAAAACUGCAUGUGGUGUGGACUGACCCCACAGUGAGUGUAAUGAGUUCACCUGGGGGAUCUCCUGCACCAGAAGCUUGAUGAGAUGACCUGCUGGAGUGAUCAAACGCCACACCCAAAGCCAGAGGAUUCAUGGGAAAGCUGCAUUAUAAAGUCAUUUCAGAGUUGGUCAGCACACAAGAUGGCUUCCUCCGCUCGGCUAUAUAGGUUCUGAUGAAACAGCAUUACAUACAACAGAACUUUGUAUCUUGCCUUUGGUAUUUUGUCUGUCAGGCCAAGGCGACUGGAUUCAGGGUCACAACAUCUGAAGAGGCAUGGGGCGUGACCCUCUCUUCUCCUCACUGUGAUGACUCCUCCCCUUCCCUCACUCUGCUCUGACUCACAGAGGACCCUGGACCUGCCUGCAGCCCUGUCAAUUACUCAUGGUGUCCAUGACAUGUCCAUGACCACUGGACACUGAAGGACUGCUAUGUGUCCCAGGAGGCAGGGGGACCCCUAGUGGCCACUUUUUUGACUUGCUUUUUUAGUAUGAAAUACGGAAUAUUUUCUGAUAAAAGCAAUUGCAACACCUAUUGUUUUUGCAUGCUUUAUAACAUAUUUUUAAUAUUUCUCUCAGCUGAGAGGUCGAUACAGUAUAAGCCGUCAUACACUAGACAUUUCAGUCCCUGCAGAUAAACAAAAAUGUUUUCAUUCAUUGACAACAACCAGAGAUCUUGAAACGGUGAGGCAUUUACUAAGAUUGGCGGUACUUACUCCAAGCUGAAAAAGGAACAAGUUGGAGUAUGGAGAUCUAUUGGAAAAUAAAGGGGGUAUUUAGCAAGACCAGCAUAUCCAUACACUCGUCUUAGGUAAAGUGCUGCCCCUCUUACCCACACCAGAUUUAUUGAGUGGCAAAGCCUGCAUGGCAGCAUCAAAAAUCUACGUGAGCUGGCAUGGAUUUUUACUGUUACUCAAGGGGGAGGCCAUGCCCCCUUGGCCCCAUGCUGCGUCACAUUACAAUGAUCUAAAGAAGCAAUCAAAGG
Hyla sarda is the source of this 1268-nucleotide long non-coding RNA. RefSeq lists it as uncharacterized. Lineage: Eukaryota; Metazoa; Chordata; Amphibia; Anura; Hylidae. The transcript is spliced from 3 exons. The record is from RefSeq and is a predicted model, not a curated record.